RNAcentral lists this unclassified non-coding RNA (351 nucleotides) under soil metagenome. Its description in RNAcentral is "partial contains 5.8S ribosomal RNA, internal transcribed spacer 2, and large subunit ribosomal RNA". The stretch from base 1 to 120 matches the Rfam family "5.8S ribosomal RNA", at positions 35 to 154 of the family's 154-position model. The record is from RNAcentral.
GAUGAAGAACUUAGCGAAACGCGAUAUGUAAUGUGAAUUGCAGAAUUCAGUGAAUCAUCGAAUCUUUGAACGCACAUGGCGCCUUCCAGUAUCCUGGGAGGCAUGCCUGUCCGAGCGUCGUUUCAACCCUCGAGCCCCCGUGGCCCGGCGUUGGGGAUCUGCCACGGCAGGCCCCUAAAACCAGUGGCGGACCCGAAGGCCCUCUCCUUUGCGCAGUAGCAUCAGCCUCGCAUUGGGAUCCCUCGGCGUCCUGCCUCUAAACCCCCCACAAGUCCGCUCCGGCGGCACCAAGGUUGACCUCGGAUCAGGUAGGAAUACCCGCUGAACUUAAGCAUAUCAAUAAGCGGACGA